AUGGAUCUGGAACCGGCCGUGCUCAUUCCCGCGGUUCUUUUCACCUUCGUGGCUCUGGUUUUUGCUUCCUCGCUCCUCGGUAGGAAGACCGACUCCUCGUCCUCUUCAGGCGGGACCAAAAAGCCCAAAGUCGGCUACGGAGAUGAGGCUCCUCCGUCCAGAGCGCUGGGAGAACCGCUCCGGUCCCCGGGACCAGAGCCACCGGCUCCGGAGGAAAAGAACCGAGAGUCGGAGGUGAAGGCUGCUCCUGUGACCGCACCAGAACCCGUCUCAGUACAAGAACCAGAACCAGCACAGAAACCUAUUCCAGUACCAGAACCUGCUGCAGAACCAGAACCGCCACGGAAACCUAUUCCAGUACCAGAACCUGCUGCAGAACCAGAACCGCCACGGAAACCUAUUCCAGUACCAGAACCAGUACAAGAACCAGAACCUGCUGCAGAACUAGAACCGCCACGGAAACCUAUUCCAGUACCAGUACCAGAACAUGCUGCAAAACCAGAACCAGCACCGGAACAUGUGAUGGUACUCAAACCUGUUACAAAGCCAGCUAAUCCAGAUAAAGCACUAGAACCGGCUCCAGAACCAGUUAAAGGUCCAGAAAAUGUCCCUGAAAAAGUAAUUGCGCCAGAACCUGACCCUGAACCAGUUCCAGAACCAUCAUUGGAGCCAGCUGUAGAAUCUGUACCUGAACCUGUUCUAGAGUCGGAUCCGGUUGCUGAUCCAGAACCAGAAGUAAUGUCCGAACCAGUACCUGAAGUGGUUCAACAGCAUGUGACCGAACCAGAACCAGAGAACGCUGACGAUUCUGCACCUGGACCAGUUCCUGAAUCACCCAAACCUGCUGAAGAGGUGUCCAAAGAACCAGAACCAGAGGUCGUCCUGGCCGAUGUGGCUGCAGCUGGCGAGGAGCUGAUGAAACCCGCCCAGCUGGAGACGCUGUUGAUGAAGGAGGUGAAGGAGGAGCAGAGGAUUGAGUUGACCCCUGACUUCACCUGUCUCUAGUCCACCUGAGCAGCCUAUGCUGGAGGGACCUGAUGGCUUCCCCUCAUCCUCUUAACCCCCCCACAGACCCCAGACCAGCUGGGUCUGAGGAGACUCUAUCCCUGAGGACUAAGACCUUCUUACUGGACUCCAGCUGGUUUUCUAAAAGCUCUGCAGAAUUAAAUUCAGGUCCAGAUUUUAAGAUCAAGAAUAAGGAGAACCCAACACGAGAGCCCAGAAACCUCUGGGUUCUGUGCAUCUGCUGGAGAACGAAGUUCUGGGGGUUUUAUCUUGUGAAGACUGGAUACAGCAGAAGUUCUGGAGGUUCUGAAAGUCUUCAGGUUGGGUUUGGACCUCUGUGGCUCUGCAGACAUCGGACUCAAGCUAACCGAACCAGCUGAUUCUGGUCCAGGAGCGCCCCCUACUGUCGGAACCAGACACUGUACUUUAACCGUUAGGGUCUUGGUUCUGACUGAGCUGACAAGGACUAACCUGGAGAGUCAGAC
This 1490-nucleotide long non-coding RNA is filed under the name Nothobranchius furzeri (turquoise killifish). RNAcentral describes it as "lncRNA (ENSNFUG00015015223.1)". The record is from RNAcentral. Lineage: Eukaryota; Metazoa; Chordata; Actinopteri; Cyprinodontiformes; Nothobranchiidae.